UACGGGGAGAGCAAGCAUUAUUCAAAAUUAUUAGGCGUAAAGUGUUUGUAGAUUGUUUUUUAAGUUAAUAAAAAAAAAUGAAAGCAUCACUUUUUUAAUUUUAUUAAAACUAAAAAACUAGAGUAUUUUAUAAAAGAUAACGGAAUUUUUAAUGUAAGGAUAAAAUCUAUUGAGAUUAAAAGGAACAACAAAAGCGAAAGCAGUUUUCUAGGUAAAUACUGACAUUGAGAAACGAAAGUAUAGGGAGCAAACGGG
This 255-nucleotide ribosomal RNA is filed under the name uncultured bacterium. RNAcentral's name for it is "partial 16S ribosomal RNA". It matches the Rfam family "Bacterial small subunit ribosomal RNA", at positions 524 to 776 of the family's 1533-position model. The record is from RNAcentral.